RNAcentral lists this ribosomal RNA (551 nucleotides) under uncultured Bacillus sp. RNAcentral's name for it is "bacterial SSU rRNA". It matches the Rfam family "Bacterial small subunit ribosomal RNA", at positions 355 to 896 of the family's 1533-position model. Lineage: Bacteria; Bacillati; Bacillota; Bacilli; Caryophanales; Bacillaceae. The record is from RNAcentral.
UAGGGAAUCUUCCGCAAUGGACGAAAGUCUGACGGAGCAACGCCGCGUGAGUGAUGAAGGCCUUCGGGUCGUAAAGCUCUGUUGUUAGGGAAGAACAAGUACCGUUCAAAUAGGGCGGUACCUUGACGGUACCUAACCAGAAAGCCACGGCUAACUACGUGCCAGCAGCCGCGGUAAUACGUAGGUGGCAAGCGUUGUCCGGAAUUAUUGGGCGUAAAGCGCGCGCAGGCGGUCUUUUAAGUCUGAUGUGAAAGCCCCCGGCUCAACCGGGGAGGGUCAUUGGAAACUGGGAGACUUGAGUACAGAAGAGGAGAGUGGAAUUCCACGUGUAGCGGUGAAAUGCGUAGAGAUGUGGAGGAACACCAGUGGCGAAGGCGACUCUCUGGUCUGUAACUGACGCUGAGGCGCGAAAGCGUGGGGAGCAAACAGGAUUAGAUACCCUGGUAGUCCACGCCGUAAACGAUGAGUGCUAGGUGUUAGGGGUUUCGAUGCCCUUAGUGCCGAAGUUAACACAUUAAGCACUCCGCCUGGGGAGUACGGCCGCAAGGCUG